Molecule: small nuclear RNA, 108 nt
Organism: Pteropus vampyrus (large flying fox)
Lineage: Eukaryota; Metazoa; Chordata; Mammalia; Chiroptera; Pteropodidae
Source: Ensembl
GUGCUCGCUUCGGCAGCACACAUAGUAAAACUGGAAUGAUACAGAGAAGAUUAGCUUGGCCCCUGCGCAAGGAUGACACGCAAAUUCGUAGAGCAUUCCGUAAAAAAG